CCUACGGGGGGCAGCAGUGAGGAAUAUUGGUCAAUGGACGAGAGUCUGAACCAGCCAAGUAGCGUGAAGGAUGACUGCCCUAUGGGUUGUAAACUUCUUUUAUAUGGGAAUAAAAUGUUCCACGUGUGGGAUUUUGUAUGUACCAUAUGAAUAAGGAUCGGCUAAAUCCGUGCCAGCAGCCGCGGUAAUACGGAGGAUCCGAGCGUUAUCCGGAUUUAUUGGGUUUAAAGGGAGCGUAGGUGGAUUGGUAAGUCAGUUGUGAAAGUUUGCGGCUCAACCGUAAAAUUGCAGUUGAAACUGGCAGUCUUGAGUACAGUAGAGGUGGGCGGAAUUCGUGGUGUAGCGGUGAAAUGCUUAGAUAUCACGAAGAACUCCGAUUGCGAAGGCAGUUCACUGGACUGCAACUGACACUGAGGCUCGAAAGUGUGGGUAUCAAACAGGAUUAGAUACCCGAGUAGUC
Molecule: ribosomal RNA, 460 nt
Filed under: uncultured bacterium
Lineage: Bacteria
Description: partial 16S ribosomal RNA
Rfam family: Bacterial small subunit ribosomal RNA
Source: RNAcentral